GGGCCCUCCGGUCAGGUAAAGGGAACGGAUUACUUUUCCCCUCGAUGUUCGCGUGUCCCGGGCAGGCAGUUCCAGCCUCUGCGUGUGUCAUCGUGUAGUUUGUUUCUUCUGCCUGCCGUGUCUUUGCCCUUCCUCGGCUCUAAAUGUCCUCGCGUGUCUUUUGUGCUCGAGGAGCACGGCUUGUGCCUGAGGCGCCAUCCGUAGGGUAUCGAACGCCCAUCUUCAUCGGCACGCUGCCGAUCGGGUGCUUUUUAUUCUUGCGUUAUAAGCUUGAAGCGUGGGUAGGUCUUGGAAGUUUCCGGUCGGGAGUCUUUUGCGCAGCAUCGUCGCCGGCUGCGGCAUCAGCUCUGCUCCUUAGGCAUCCGUUUUCACGGACUGCGACAUCUCCCCUGCAUCCCUCAGUCCUAGGAUUCGGACUCCUACUUCUCAUCCACCGUCUCGGUUUUGACGAUGGAUGAGAUGCGCACCAAAGAGUGACGGAGGAGGUGAGCGGAGGGCUGUGAGAAGAUGGAGAGCCACAAGCAAAGUAGGAUUUGGCACCGGAGGCAGCUUGGGCGAGUGUGUUACAGGUGGCACACGAGCCUUGACGUGACAACUGGAAACAGCAGCGG
This is a long non-coding RNA of Tyto alba (common barn owl), 611 nucleotides long. RefSeq lists it as uncharacterized. The record is from RefSeq and is a predicted model, not a curated record. The transcript is spliced from 4 exons. Lineage: Eukaryota; Metazoa; Chordata; Aves; Strigiformes; Tytonidae.